UGCAGUCGAACGGUAACGACGGGAGCUUGCUCCCGGGCGACGAGUGGCGGACGGGUGAGUAAUACUUAGGAAUCUGCCCAGUAGUGGGGGACAACUCGAGGAAACUCGAGCUAAUACCGCAUACGCCCUACGGGGGAAAGCGGAGGAUCUUUCGGGACUUCGCGCUAUUGGAUGAGCCUAAGUCGGAUUAGCUUGUUGGUGGGGUAAAGGCCUACCAAGGCAACGAUCUGUAGCUGGUCUGAGAGGACGAUCAGCCACACUGGGACUGAGACACGGCCCAGACUCCUACGGGAGGCAGCAGUGGGGAAUAUUGGACAAUGGGGGCAACCCUGAUCCAGCAAUGCCGCGUGUGUGAAGAAGGCCUGCGGGUUGUAAAGCACUUUCAGUAGAGAAGAAAUGCCCAUGGUUAAUACCCGUGGGUCUUGACGUAACCUACAGAAGAAGCACCGGCUAACUCCGUGCCAGCAGCCGCGGUAAUACGGAGGGUGCGAGCGUUAAUCGGAAUUACUGGGCGUAAAGCGCGCGUAGGCGGUUUGGUCAGUCGGAUGUGAAAGCCCUAGGCUCAACCUGGGAAUGGCAUUCGAUACUGCCUGACUAGAGUAUGGUAGAGGGAAGUGGA
Molecule: ribosomal RNA, 619 nt
Filed under: uncultured bacterium
Lineage: Bacteria
Description: bacterial SSU rRNA
Rfam family: Bacterial small subunit ribosomal RNA
Source: RNAcentral